CACCGCGGUUAUACGAGAGACCCCAAGUUGACAAAUUCCGGCGUAAAGCGUGGUUAGGAAGCACUUAAACUAAAGUCGAACACCUUCAAAGCUGUUAUACGCAUCCGAAGGCCUGAAGAACAUACACGAAAGUAACUUUACAAACUCUGAAGCCACGAAAGCUAAGAUACAAACUGGGAUUAGAUACCCCACUAUGCUUAGCCCUAAACAUAGAUAGCACUUACACCUCCGCUAUCCGCCUGGGAACUACGAGCACCAGCUUAAAACCCAAAGGACUUGGCGGUGCUUUAGAUCCACCUAGAGGAGCCUGUUCUAGAACCGAUACCCCCCGUUCAACCUCACCCCUCCUUGUUUUACCCGCCUAUAUACCGCCGUCGUCAGCUUACCCUGUGAAGGACUCAUAGUAAGCAAAAUUGGUACAACCCUAAACGUCAGGUCGAGGUGUAGCGUAUGGAGGGGGAAGAAAUGGGCUACAUUUUCUACCCCAGAAAACUACGAAAGAUGUACUGAAAAGUACACCUGAAGGAGGAUUUAACAGUAAGCAAAAAAUAGAGCGUUUUGCUGAAAUUGGCCCUGAAGCGCGCACACACCGCCCGUCACUCUCCCCAAGCCUAUAACUAACUAAUAACUUUAAACCACAACACACGCAAAGGGGAGGCAAGUCGUAA
RNAcentral lists this ribosomal RNA (668 nucleotides) under Brotula multibarbata (goatsbeard brotula). RNAcentral describes it as "partial 12S ribosomal RNA". It matches the Rfam family "Bacterial small subunit ribosomal RNA", at positions 513 to 1491 of the family's 1533-position model. The record is from RNAcentral. Lineage: Eukaryota; Metazoa; Chordata; Actinopteri; Ophidiiformes; Ophidiidae.